RNAcentral lists this ribosomal RNA (1938 nucleotides) under Triticum aestivum (bread wheat). RNAcentral describes it as "partial small subunit ribosomal RNA". The record is from RNAcentral. Lineage: Eukaryota; Viridiplantae; Streptophyta; Magnoliopsida; Poales; Poaceae.
AUGGAAGCUGCUGCCGGGCUCCUCGCCCCUCUCCCCCGAAGCACCGCCGGCGGCAGCGCCACCUUCCCCGUGCUCUCCUCCAGCAACCCCUACCACCAUUAUCCCCAGCCCCACCACCACCCCAUUUUCUCCGGCCUCCUCACCCUCAGUCUCAGGGGAUGCGGCUCUCGCCUCCCAGCCCCGCCCUGCCGCGCCGCCGUGAAGGAGGACGACGCCACGCCGCAGUGGCAGCUCGACUUCCUGGGGCCCGACCCUCACCCGCGGUCCGGGGGCGACGACGGGGACGACGACCCGCUCCCCGCCGCCAGCACCGACUGGUGCGUCCGCGCGCGCCGCUCCGCGCUGCGCUCCAUCGAGGCCAGGGGCCUCACGCCGUCGCUCCAGCGCAUGGUCACCCCGCCCAAGAAGAAGAAGAAGAAGAAGCAGAAGAAGAGGGUCCUCGGCAGGAAGCCCCGCAAGCACGACGCCGACGACGAGGAGCCGCUGCCGGGCGGGGACGAGUUCGACAGCGACGAGGAGGCGACCCUGGACGACCUCGACCUCCGGGUGGCGCAGCUCGGGGACGGGCUGUUCGACGAAAAGCGCCAGCGGAACAGGGAGCGCUUCAUCCAGACGCUCUCCAGCUUCGCCGCCGCGCCGUCCAACCGGACCAAGGAGGUGGCCCUCAACAGGGACAUCGUGCAGGCGCAGACCGCCGAGGAGGUGCUCGCGCUCACCGCCGACGUCGUCGCGGCCGUCGCCAAGGGCCUCAGCCCCUCGCCGCUCACCGCGCUCAACAUCGCCACCGCGCUCCACCGCAUCGCCAGGAGGAUGGAGGCCGUGUCCAUGAUACAGACGCACCGGCUCGCCUUCGCGCGCCACAGGGACAUGUCCAUGCUCGUGGGGCUGGCCAUGAUGUCCCUCCCGGAGUGCUCGCCGCAGGGCGUGUCCAACAUCUGCUGGGCCUUGUCCAAGAUCGGGGGUGACCUGCUCUACUUGCCGGAGAUGGAUAGGAUUGCCGACGUGGCCAUCUCCAAGGCUGACGAUUUCAACGCGCAGAAUGUCGCCAAUGUCGCCGGAGCGUUCGCCACCAUGCGCCAGUCAGCACCAGGCCUUUUCUCGGCAUUGGCCCAGAGAGCAGCAAAACUGGUGCACACCUUCAAGGAGCAAGAGCUUGCUCAAUUCCUGUGGGGAUGUGCUUCUCUUGAUGAAUGCCCCGGUCCUUUGCUCAACGCACUUGAUGCUGCUUUCCAGGAUGCUGCCAGCUUCAAAUGUAAUAUCUAUGAUCCAUCAUCGUCAGACAUGCGGCAAAACACUGCCAAAGAAGCUUCGGGCGAAGAGUAUGGUAACAAUUCUCAUGCGCUAAACUUUAGUCGAGAUCAGCUUGGCAAUAUUGCUUGGUCAUAUGCUGUUCUUGGGCAACUGGACCGACAGUUCUUCUCGCAUAUCUGGAACACUCUGAGUCAACACGAAGAGCAGAGAGUCUCUGAUCAGUAUAGGGAAGACAUAAUGUUCGCAUCACAGGUAUAUCUUGCGAAUCAGUCUUUGAAGCUUGAAUACCCACAUCUCAAUAUGGGCUUAAGAGAUGAUCUGGAAGAGAAAAUAACAAAAGCGGUGAAGAGCAAGCGGUUCAAUCAGAAGACGACCUCCCUGUUUCAGAAGGAUGUCGGGCGUCUUUUAUAUAGUACCGGACAUGAAUGGGUUAGAGAAUAUACGGUGGAUGGUUACACUGUCGAUGCAGUGUUAGUUGAUGAGAAGCUUGCAUUUGAGAUAGACGGGACGACACACUUCUCAAGGAAUUUAGGCACACCAUUAGGCCACACGGCAUUUAAAAGGCGUUACAUAACCGCUGCUGGAUGGAAAUUAGUUUCCUUGUCUCACCAAGAGUGGGAGGAGCUUCAAGGUGAGACUGAGCAAAUGGAGUAUCUGAGGAGAAUUUUAGGCAUUGAUGCAGAAUAA